Spea bombifrons (plains spadefoot toad) is the source of this 181-nucleotide long non-coding RNA. RefSeq lists it as uncharacterized. Lineage: Eukaryota; Metazoa; Chordata; Amphibia; Anura; Pelobatidae. The record is from RefSeq and is a predicted model, not a curated record. The transcript has 3 exons.
AUCUCCGCAGGCAGCUUCUUUCUCACCCAUGCCAUCUCCACUUUCCAGACAGAGGUUCUUCGCGGCAGAGAUUGUCUGCGGCCUGCAGUUCCUGCACAACAAUGGCGUCAUCCAUCGAGACCUGAAACCAGAAAAUAUUCUCCUGGACAGCGUCGGCCAUAUAAGAAUAGCUGAUUUUGGG